CCCCGAAGAGGGGGAUAACUACUGGAAACGGUAGCUAAUACCCCAUAUGGUCGGCGAUUCGUUUCGCCGAUUAAAGCUCCGGCGCUUUGGGAGGGGCCUGCGGCCGAUUAGCUAGUUGGUGGGGUAAUGGCUCACCAAGGCGAUGAUCGGUAGCUGGUCUGAGAGGAUGAUCAGCCACACUGGCACUGACACACGGGCCAGACUCCUACGGGAGGCAGCAGUGAGGAAUAUUGCGCAAUGGGCGAAAGCCUGACGCAGCAACGCCGCGUGGGCGAUGAAGGCCUUCGGGUUGUAAAGCCCUUUUCUGGGGGAAGAGGAAGGACGGUACCUCAGGAAUAAGUCUUGGCUAACUACGUGCCAGCAGCCGCGGUAAAACGUAGGAGGCGAGCGUUAUCCGGAUUUACUGGGCGUAAAGCGCGCGCAGGCGGUUCCGUAAGUUGGACGUGAAAUCUUCUGGCUCAACUGGGAGGGGUCGUCCAAUACUGCGGGACUUGAGGUCGGGAGAGGGAAGUGGAAUUCCCGGUGUAGUGGUGGAAUGCGUAGAUAUCGGGAGGAACACCAGUGGCGAAAGCGGCUUCCUGGCCCGCACCUGACGCUCAAGUGCGAAAGCGUGGGGAGCGAACGGGAUUAGAUACCCCGGUAGUCCACGCCGUAAACGAUGGGUACUAGGUGUUGGUGGUAUUGACCCCAUCAGUGCCGAAGCUAACGCGAUAAGU
This 716-nucleotide ribosomal RNA is filed under the name uncultured bacterium. RNAcentral's name for it is "bacterial SSU rRNA". It matches the Rfam family "Bacterial small subunit ribosomal RNA", at positions 129 to 865 of the family's 1533-position model. The record is from RNAcentral.